UGAUUUAUCUACUGGGACCUCAUCAGCCAUGAUGAGAUGUUCUCCCACAUUUACAAAAUCCGGGAGACUGCGGAUGGGCUGUGCCUGGAGGUGGAGGGGAAAUUGGUAAGUAGGACAGAGGGUAACAUUGAUGACUUGCUCAUUGGUGGAAAUGCCUCCGCUGAAGGCACUGAAAGCGAAGGUACCAAAAGCACAGUAAUCACUGGUAUCCUUACUGUCAUGAACCAUCACCUGCAGGAAACAAGCUUCACAAAAGAAGCCUACAAGAAGUAUAAUACACCAAAGAUUACAUGAAAUCAACCAAAGGCAAACUUGAAGAACAGAGACCAGAAAGAGUAAAACCUUUUAUGACAGGGGCUGCAGAACAAAUCAAACACAUCCUUGCUAAUUUCAAAAGCUACCACUUCUUUAUUGGUGAAAACAUGAAUCCAGAUGGCAUGGUUGCUCCACAGGACUACCGUGAGGUUGGUGUAACCCAUGUGGGAUUUCCUUUAAGGAUGGCUUAGAAAUGGAA
RNAcentral lists this long non-coding RNA (514 nucleotides) under Homo sapiens (human). RNAcentral describes it as "non-protein coding lnc-SNX14-5:1". The record is from RNAcentral. Lineage: Eukaryota; Metazoa; Chordata; Mammalia; Primates; Hominidae.